RNAcentral lists this long non-coding RNA (553 nucleotides) under Bos mutus (wild yak). RNAcentral's name for it is "lncRNA (ENSBMUG00000020499.1)". Lineage: Eukaryota; Metazoa; Chordata; Mammalia; Artiodactyla; Bovidae. The record is from RNAcentral.
GCAAGCCCAGUUCAGUGGCCUAGUCUAACCAGGGUGAGGGGCGAACCCUGCCGGCCUCCGUCCUCUUCCGCUCGACUCAGGUGGUGCGCGGAUCCGUCCGCGCAGUAAGCGCUCCCGGUAGCGCUCCGAUCGGCUUUUCGGCAAUACCCGGAUGGAAGCAUAAUGGCCGCCAUCAGGGACUCGCAGGCAAUGGGGACCACGACAGAUAUCAUCUCUCCUUUUGAUCACUGUUCCUGAUUGUGGCUUUAUCCAAGCAUUAAAUUGUGUGCCUUUUGUUCCUUGAAGAAAGAGCUGGUGCUAGCAACUCUCAAUUCCGUCUCGUCUCUGGACCCAGCUCAAAGCUCUGGAUUUGUUCUCUUCCCAUACCUGAGCUGGAGCCUUCUGUCACCCCAAAGUGCUUCAUGCAGUCUUCCUCUCAAGCCCUCACUUCUCUCCCAAGGUGAGUUAAUGUGGGGAAAAUCCUGGUAUUCUGAAGAUGUUGCGGCACAGUAUUGUUUCCUGUUCAAAUUACAAGUAACUUCAAGAAUUUUCAGGAAGAAAAGAAUUGAGAUUG